RNAcentral lists this ribosomal RNA (389 nucleotides) under Dinophyceae sp. Its description in RNAcentral is "partial small subunit ribosomal RNA". It matches the Rfam family "Eukaryotic small subunit ribosomal RNA", at positions 582 to 975 of the family's 1831-position model. Lineage: Eukaryota; Dinophyceae. The record is from RNAcentral.
AUUCCAGCUCCAAUAGCGUAUAUUAAAGUUGUUGCGGUUAAAAAGCUCGUAGUUGGAUUUCUGCUGAGGACGACUGGUCCGCCCCCUGGGUGAGCAUCUGGUUCGGCCUGGGCAUCUUCUUGGGGAACGUAUCUGCACUUGAUUGUGUGGUGCGGUAUCCAGGACUUUUACUUUGAGGAAAUUAGAGUGUUUCAAGCAGGCCCGCGCCUUGAAUACAUUAGCAUGGAAUAAUAAGAUAGGACCUCGGUUCUAUUUUGUUGGUUUCUAGAGCUGAGGUAAUGAUUAAUAGGGAUAGUUGGGGGCAUUAGUAUUUAUUAGCUAGAGGCGGAAUUCUCUAAUUUGAUAAAGACUAACUUAUGCGAAAGCAUUUGCCAAGGAUGUUUUCAUCA